RNAcentral lists this ribosomal RNA (227 nucleotides) under Bacillus cereus. RNAcentral's name for it is "partial 16S ribosomal RNA". It matches the Rfam family "Bacterial small subunit ribosomal RNA", at positions 1 to 218 of the family's 1533-position model. The record is from RNAcentral. RNAcentral also lists the same sequence under 1 other name. Lineage: Bacteria; Bacillati; Bacillota; Bacilli; Caryophanales; Bacillaceae.
UUUAUUGGAGAGUUUGAUCCUGGCUCAGGAUGAACGCUGGCGGCGUGCCUAAUACAUGCAAGUCGAGCGAAUGGAUUAAGAGCUUGCUCUUAUGAAGUUAGCGGCGGACGGGUGAGUAACACGUGGGUAACCUGCCCAUAAGACUGGGAUAACUCCGGGAAACCGGGGCUAAUACCGGAUAACAUUUUGAACCGCAUGGUUCGAAAUUGAAAGGCGGCUUCGGCUGU